UUUUCGUAGGUGAACCUGCGGAAGGAUCAUUAGUGAAUUUAGGGAGUCCCUCUUAACCGGAGAAGGCCCGAUCCACUAUUUUUACACACUUGUGCAAUUGUCCACUUUUUUACGCUUGUGCAUUUAAACAAGUCGUUUAACAACACAUGAUAAUGAAAGAAAAACUUUCAGCAAUGGAUCUCUUGGCUCUCGCAUCGAUGAAGAACGCAGC
This 211-nucleotide unclassified non-coding RNA is filed under the name uncultured fungus. Its description in RNAcentral is "sequence contains ITS1, 5.8S rRNA gene". The stretch from base 163 to 211 matches the Rfam family "5.8S ribosomal RNA", at positions 1 to 49 of the family's 154-position model. The record is from RNAcentral. Lineage: Eukaryota; Fungi.